This 609-nucleotide ribosomal RNA is filed under the name Providencia rettgeri. RNAcentral describes it as "partial 23S ribosomal RNA". It matches the Rfam family "Bacterial large subunit ribosomal RNA", at positions 1084 to 1693 of the family's 2925-position model. The record is from RNAcentral. Lineage: Bacteria; Pseudomonadati; Pseudomonadota; Gammaproteobacteria; Enterobacterales; Morganellaceae.
CUCAGACAGCCAGGAUGUUGGCUUAGAAGCAGCCAUCAUUUAAAGAAAGCGUAAUAGCUCACUGGUCGAGUCGGCCUGCGCGGAAGAUGUAACGGGGCUAAACUAUGCACCGAAGCUGCGGCAGCGAUAUGUAAAUAUUGUUGGGUAGGGGAGCGUUCUGUAAGCCUGUGAAGGUGUACUGCGAGGUAUGCUGGAGGUAUCAGAAGUGCGAAUGCUGACAUAAGUAACGAUAAUGCGGGUGAAAAACCCGCACGCCGGAAGACCAAGGGUUCCUGUCCAACGUUAAUCGGGGCAGGGUGAGUCGACCCCUAAGGCGAGGCAGAAAUGCGUAGUCGAUGGGAAACGGGUUAAUAUUCCCGUACUGGUGAUAAUUGCGAUGGGGGGACGGAGAAGGCUAGGCUAUCCGGGCGACGGUUGUCCCGGUUUAAGGAUGUAGGCAGGUGAAUUAGGCAAAUCCGGUUCACUAUAUGCUGAGGUCCGACGACGAGUCACUACGGUGAUGAAGUAGCUCAUGCCCCGCUUCCAGGAAAAGCCUCUAAGCUCUAGAUUAUCAUUAAUCGUACCCCAAACCGACACAGGUGGUCAGGUAGAGAAUACUCAGGCGCUUGA